This 253-nucleotide ribosomal RNA is filed under the name uncultured bacterium. Its description in RNAcentral is "partial 16S ribosomal RNA". It matches the Rfam family "Bacterial small subunit ribosomal RNA", at positions 524 to 776 of the family's 1533-position model. The record is from RNAcentral.
UACGUAGGUGGCAAGCGUUGUCCGGAAUUAUUGGGCGUAAAGCGCGCGCAGGUGGUUUCUUAAGUCUGAUGUGAAAGCCCACGGCUCAACCGUGGAGGGUCAUUGGAAACUGGGGAACUUGAGUGCAGGAGAGAAGAGUGGAAUUCCACGUGUAGCGGUGAAAUGCGUAGAGAUCCGGAGGAACACCAGAGGCGAAGGCGGCCUACUGGGUCAGUACUGACGCUGAGCCGCGAAAGCCAGGGGAGCGAACGGG